GCAGCAGCCGCGGGAAUACGUAGGUCCCGAGCGUUGUCCGGAUUUAUUGGGCGUAAAGCGAGCGCAGGCGGUUAGAUAAGUCUGAAGUUAAAGGCUGUGGCUUAACCAUAGUACGCUUUGGAAACUGUUUAACUUGAGUGCAAGAGGGGAGAGUGGAAUUCCAUGUGUAGCGGUGAAAUGCGUAGAUAUAUGGAGGAACACCAGUGGCGAAGGCGACUCUCUGGUCUGUAACUGACGCUGAGGCUCGAAAGCGUGGGUAGCAAACAGGAUUAGAUACCCCCGUAGUCCCUGUCUCUUAUACA
RNAcentral lists this ribosomal RNA (302 nucleotides) under uncultured bacterium. Its description in RNAcentral is "partial 16S ribosomal RNA". It matches the Rfam family "Bacterial small subunit ribosomal RNA", at positions 508 to 808 of the family's 1533-position model. The record is from RNAcentral.